Molecule: ribosomal RNA, 253 nt
Filed under: uncultured bacterium
Lineage: Bacteria
Description: partial 16S ribosomal RNA
Rfam family: Bacterial small subunit ribosomal RNA
Source: RNAcentral
UACGUAGGGGGCUGGCGUUGUCCGGAAUCAUUGGGCGUAAAGCGCGCGUAGGUGGCCCUGUAAGUCCGUUGUGAAAGUCAAAGGCUCAACCUUUGAAAGCCGAUGGAUACUGCAGGGCUAGAGUACGGAAGAGGCGAGUGGAAUUCCUGGUGUAGCGGUGGAAUGCGCAGAUAUCAGGAGGAACACCAAUAGCGAAGGCAGCUCGCUGGGACGUUACUGACACUGAGGCGCGAAAGCGUGGGGAGCGAACAGG